GACGAACGCUGGCGGCGUGCCUAAUACAUGCAAGUUGAGCGCUGAAGGUUGGUACUUGUACCAACUGGAUGAGCAGCGAACGGGUGAGUAACGCGUGGGGAAUCUGCCUUUGAGCGGGGGACAACAUUUGGAAACGAAUGCUAAUACCGCAUAAAAACUUUAAACACAAGUUUUAAGUUUGAAAGAUGCAAUUGCAUCACUCAAAGAUGAUCCCGCGUUGUAUUAGCUAGUUGGUGAGGUAAAGGCUCACCAAGGCGAUGAUACAUAGCCGACCUGAGAGGGUGGUCGGCCACAUUGGGACUGAGACACGGCCCAAACUCCUACGGGAGGCAGCAGUAGGGAAUCUUCGGCAAUGGACGAAAGUCUGACCGAGCAACGCCGCGUGAGUGAAGAAGGUUUUCGGAUCGUAAAACUCUGUUGGUAGAGAAGAACGUUGGUUAGAGUGGAAAGCUCAUCAAGUGACGGUAACUACCCAGAAAGGGACGGCUAACUACGUG
Molecule: ribosomal RNA, 497 nt
Filed under: uncultured bacterium
Lineage: Bacteria
Description: partial 16S ribosomal RNA
Rfam family: Bacterial small subunit ribosomal RNA
Source: RNAcentral